CGGAUUGAAGGCUGAAAUUCGCCUUCAUGAAGCCGGAAUUGCUAGUAAUGGCAGGUCAGCAUACUGCCGUGAAUACGUUCCCGGGCCCUUGUACACACCGCCCGUCACACCAUGAGAGUUGGGAAUACCCGAAGCCUGUGAGCUAACUUUUAGAGGCAGCAGUCGAAGGUAGAAUCAAUGAUUGGGGUGAAGUCGUAACAAGGUAGC
Molecule: ribosomal RNA, 207 nt
Filed under: uncultured bacterium
Lineage: Bacteria
Description: partial 16S ribosomal RNA
Rfam family: Bacterial small subunit ribosomal RNA
Source: RNAcentral